RNAcentral lists this ribosomal RNA (253 nucleotides) under uncultured bacterium. RNAcentral's name for it is "partial 16S ribosomal RNA". It matches the Rfam family "Bacterial small subunit ribosomal RNA", at positions 524 to 776 of the family's 1533-position model. The record is from RNAcentral.
UACGGGGGGGGCAAGCGUUGUUCGGAAUUACUGGGCGUAAAGGGCUCGUAGGCGGCCAACUAAGCCAGACGUGAAAUCCCUCGGCUUAACCGGGGAACUGCGUCUGAUACUGGAUGGCUCGAGUUUGGGAGAGGGAUGCGGAAUUCCAGGUGUAGCGGUGAAAUGCGUAGAUAUCUGGAGGAACACCGGUGGCGAAGGCGGCAUCCUGGACCAACACUGACGCUGAUGAGCGAAAGCGUGGGGAGCAAACAGG